This 778-nucleotide ribosomal RNA is filed under the name Pseudomonas aeruginosa. RNAcentral describes it as "bacterial SSU rRNA". It matches the Rfam family "Bacterial small subunit ribosomal RNA", at positions 1 to 771 of the family's 1533-position model. Lineage: Bacteria; Pseudomonadati; Pseudomonadota; Gammaproteobacteria; Pseudomonadales; Pseudomonadaceae. The record is from RNAcentral.
UAUGUUUUGGGAGAGUUUUGAUCCUGGCUCAGAUUGAACGCUGGCGGCAGGCCUAACACAUGCAAGUCGAGCGGAUGAAGGGAGCUUGCUCCCUGGAUUCAGCGGCGGACGGGUGAGUAAUGCCUAGGGAAUCUGCCUGGUAGUGGGGGAUAACGUCCGGAAACGGGCGCUAAUACCGCAUACGUCCUGAGGGAGAAAGUGGGGGAUCUUCGGACCUCACGCUAUCAGAUGAGCCUAGGUCGGAUUAGCUAGUUGGUGGGGUAAAGGCCUACCAAGGCGACGAUCCGUAACUGGUCUGAGAGGAUGAUCAGUCACACUGGAACUGAGACACGGUCCAGACUCCUACGGGAGGCAGCAGUGGGGAAUAUUGGACAAUGGGCGAAAGCCUGAUCCAGCCAUGCCGCGUGUGUGAAGAAGGUCUUCGGAUUGUAAAGCACUUUAAGUUGGGAGGAAGGGCAGUAAGUUAAUACCUUGCUGUUUUGACGUUACCAACAGAAUAAGCACCGGCUAACUUCGUGCCAGCAGCCGCGGUAAUACGAAGGGUGCAAGCGUUAAUCGGAAUUACUGGGCGUAAAGCGCGCGUAGGUGGUUCAGCAAGUUGGAUGUGAAAUCCCCGGGCUCAACCUGGGAACUGCAUCCAAAACUACUGAGCUAGAGUACGGUAGAGGGUGGUGGAAUUUCCUGUGUAGCGGUGAAAUGCGUAGAUAUAGGAAGGAACACCAGUGGCGAAGGCGACCACCUGGACUGAUACUGAAAACUGAAGUGGGAAAUGGACUUA